Molecule: small nuclear RNA, 23 nt
Filed under: Arabidopsis thaliana (thale cress)
Lineage: Eukaryota; Viridiplantae; Streptophyta; Magnoliopsida; Brassicales; Brassicaceae
Description: snRNA_16028
Source: RNAcentral
UUGCAACAAUAUCCUUUUAUGUU